CUCUCAAAUCUAUUUUGUGGGGUAGCAAAAAUACAAAUCUCUCCUAAAAAAACAGACCCCCUUUGAGCCAAACCCCGGAGAAACCCUAGGAAAGCUCUCAGGGGCGGCGCAGCAUCCGCGACGAACGAUGGCUGGCUACCGCAGCCGGAGUCCGAGCCGGAGCUAUAGCCCUCGGAGGCGAUACAGCCGGAGCCCUCCUAGGCGCAAGCGCUACGACGACCCCCGCGACCGCUACCGCGGGGGUGGGGGCGGCGGAGGCGGAGGCGGAGGCGGAGGCGGAGCCCGGCGUGGGUACGGUCGGCCGUCGGCGCAGUCCGGUCUCCUCAUCCGCAACAUCUCCAUCACAGCCAGGCCAGAAGAUAUUCGUGUUCCCUUUGAGCAAUUCGGCCCUGUAAAGGAUGUCUAUCUUCCAAGAAACUUCCACACCAGGGAACUUCGUGGUUUCGGAUUUGUGAAAUUCCGCUACCCUGAGGAUGCUGCGGUGGCCAAGCAAGAGAUGAAUCAUCAAGUUAUUGGUGGCCGAGAGAUUUCAAUAGUUUAUGCUGAAGAGAAUAGAAAGACACCCCAAGAAAUGCGCAUGAGAACAAGAAUAAGUGGUAGGUAUAUGGACAGAAGGUACACAAGGCGAUCAGUAUCUAGAUCUCCAAGAUCUCAUUCCCACUCUUAUUCACCUACACCAUCUCCGGUUAGGCGUGACUUCAGUCAACAAAGAAUAUAGUCUAAAAGACCAAAAGACAACCAUGAUGUUUGGAGAAUAAAGACCAAAGUGAAAGUACUAUGACCUCCCCAGUUGGAGAAUGUGAAAGGGACUACUGUUAAAGAUAAAGUGGUACUGUCACCCAGACUGUAAAGAUAAUCUUGGCUAAGAAACCUGGGGAAAAGAGUUAUUUUCAAGUGAGCUGAUUCUGUUGAGCCAGCACCUUAAUGCAUUGCACAUUGCAUGUUUGGGACAAAGUCGGUAGCUUUUAUUGAUAUGGGACAGGGGCAGGGACAGCCGUGACAAUUACUCCCCUGGGGGGUCAUACUCUCCGCGUCCUCAGAAUAACAGGCACUACAGGUCAGGUAGUCGAUCUCCAAGCCCAGAUGGGUGCAAACCUCAGGUGUCACCAAUCACCGAUGGGCAUGGCCCAGCUGUUGUAUCCAGCCCCAGAUAAUAUGAUGCCGUUUGGGAUUGCUUUGGAAUGAAGGUGGGAGGAUGGAAAGCUGCAGACAACGCCUUCCUUUGAUCAAUCUUCCCUAGAAGAGAUCAGUAGGUUUUUAGUGAAACGUGCUUGUAUGGGUGAUGCUUUUGGUUGAAACAAUAUGUUCCCUUUGUGAGGUGGUUUUUGUGCUUUUCAAACUGGCGGCUGAUGGUAUUGGUACCUUAUGGAAUUUUGUGUUCGUUUUUGCUUGAAUGAUAUAUCAUCAAUUUGGCAAGAACAUUUUACCUGUCUUAAUAAAUUACCCUGCCCGCAAGUUCAAUUA
Molecule: RNA transcript, 1464 nt
Organism: Panicum virgatum (switchgrass)
Lineage: Eukaryota; Viridiplantae; Streptophyta; Magnoliopsida; Poales; Poaceae
Gene name: serine/arginine-rich SC35-like splicing factor SCL28
Exons: 8
Source: RefSeq, a predicted model, not a curated record